Molecule: ribosomal RNA, 374 nt
Filed under: uncultured Arcobacter sp.
Lineage: Bacteria; Pseudomonadati; Campylobacterota; Epsilonproteobacteria; Campylobacterales; Arcobacteraceae
Description: bacterial SSU rRNA
Rfam family: Bacterial small subunit ribosomal RNA
Source: RNAcentral
AGUGUGCUAGCUUGCUAGAAUUUAGAUACAGGUGCUGCACGGCUGUCGUCAGCUCGUGUCGUGAGAUGUUGGGUUAAGUCCCGCAACGAGCGCAACCUCGUGUUAGUUGCUUAACAGUUCGGCUGAGAACUCUAAACAAGACUGCCUACGCAAGUAGGAGGAAGGUGAGGACGACGUCAAGUCAUCAUGGCCCUUACGGCCAGGGCUACACACGUGCUACAAUGGGGUAUACAAAGAGCAGCGAUACGGUGACGUGGAGCAAAUCUAGAAAAUGCCUCUCAGUUCGGAUUGUAGUCUGCAACUCGACUACAUGAAGUUGGAAUCGCUAGUAAUCGUAGAUCAGCAAUGCUACGGUGAAUACGUUCCCGGGUCUU